ACGAUGAACCACUUCGGUGGGGAUUAGUGGCGAACGGGUGAGUAACACGUGGGCAAUCUGCCCUGCACUCUGGGACAAGCCCUGGAAACGGGGUCUAAUACCGGAUAUGAGUUCCUUCCGCAUGGUGGGGACUGUAAAGCUCCGGCGGUGCAGGAUGAGCCCGCGGCCUAUCAGCUUGUUGGUGAGGUAACGGCUCACCAAGGCGACGACGGGUAGCCGGCCUGAGAGGGCGACCGGCCACACUGGGACUGAGACACGGCCCAGACUCCUACGGGAGGCAGCAGUGGGGAAUAUUGCACAAUGGGCGAAAGCCUGAUGCAGCGACGCCGCGUGAGGGAUGACGGCCUUCGGGUUGUAAACCUCUUUCAGCAGGGAAGAAGCGAAAGUGACGGUACCUGCAGAAGAAGCGCCGGCUAACUACG
This 422-nucleotide ribosomal RNA is filed under the name bacterium S6A-230-16S. RNAcentral describes it as "bacterial SSU rRNA". It matches the Rfam family "Bacterial small subunit ribosomal RNA", at positions 66 to 505 of the family's 1533-position model. The record is from RNAcentral.